This is a long non-coding RNA of Callithrix jacchus (white-tufted-ear marmoset), 640 nucleotides long. RefSeq lists it as uncharacterized. The record is from RefSeq and is a predicted model, not a curated record. Lineage: Eukaryota; Metazoa; Chordata; Mammalia; Primates; Cebidae.
ACCGGACAUUCAAACUGCAAGGGAGGAAGCACUCCAGCAGGGAUUCUGUCGUUUUAGAGAGUCCCUGUUUCCACCUUGUAUUCCUUUUCACCCAAUAAAACCCUGCUUUACUCACCUUUCAAACCGUCUGCAAGCUUAAACUUUUGUGGCUCUGGGACAAGGACCCCGUCUUUGGCUAAACUAAGAAAAAGUCCUGCAACAUUUCGGUGCCCAACAUGUGGCUCAAGAAGUGAUGCUGACAAAUCCUCAACCGUAUGUCAGAAUCCAUGUUAGAUACUAGGGAUACGAAGAGAUGUCUUCCAUCCCCAGAAAGGAGACAGACAAAGGAACUGAUAGUUGAAACAGCAUAUGUGGAGUUGUUCAGCGUGUCAUGGGAGCACAUACAGAUGAGGAAUGGGAUGCAUAGCAAGUUUAAAUAACUUGCAGAAGGACACACAGUUUGGAAGUGAAGAAGCUCAAAUUCAAAGACUGGCAGUCUGCAUCCAGAGUUGGUCAUCUUAAAUACCAUGCUGAACUGCUUGCUCCCAAAGACUAAACAGUAUUUUUUAUAAGAGGAUAUCCAUUUGUAGGUCAACAAAUUGUUUCUAAUUCUUCUUAAAAUAAAAUACAGUGAACUGAAUAAAGUUUAAUAUAUCAGAGU